RNAcentral lists this transfer RNA (63 nucleotides) under Polythlipta liquidalis. RNAcentral describes it as "tRNA-Arg". The record is from RNAcentral. Lineage: Eukaryota; Metazoa; Arthropoda; Insecta; Lepidoptera; Crambidae.
AAAUAUGAAGCAAUUUUGCAUUUAAUUUCGACUUAAAAGAAGGGUUUAAUUACCCCAUAUUUU